This 492-nucleotide ribosomal RNA is filed under the name uncultured bacterium. RNAcentral describes it as "partial 16S ribosomal RNA". It matches the Rfam family "Bacterial small subunit ribosomal RNA", at positions 29 to 507 of the family's 1533-position model. The record is from RNAcentral.
AGUGAACGCUGGCGGUAGGCCUAACACAUGCAAGUCGAACGGCAGCACAGUAAGAGCUUGCUCUUCCGGGUGGCGAGUGGCGGACGGGUGAGGAAUACAUCGGAAUCUACUUUUUCGUGGGGGAUAACGUAGGGAAACUUACGCUAAUACCGCAUACGACCUACGGGUGAAAGCAGGGGAUCUUCGGACCUUGCGCGAUUGAAUGAGCCGAUGUCGGAUUAGCUAGUUGGCGGGGUAAAGGCCCACCAAGGCGACGAUCCGUAGCUGGGCUGAGAGGAUGAUCAGCCACACUGGAACUGAGACACGGUCCAGACUCCUACGGGAGGCAGCAGUGGGGAAUAUUGGACAAUGGGCGCAAGCCUGAUCCAGCCAUACCGCGUGAGUGAAGAAGGCCUUCGGGUUGUAAAGCCCUUUUGUUGGGAAAGAAAAGCAGCAGGUUAAUACCCCGCUGUUCUGACGGUACCCAAAGAAUAAGCACCGGCUAACUUCGUG